AGGACGAACGCUGGCGGCGUGCCUAACACAUGCAAGUCGAACGGACGAGAGGAGCUUGCUCCUCGAGUUAGUGGCGAACGGGUGAGUAACGCGUGAGCAACCUGCCUUUCAGAGGGGGACAACGGUUGGAAACGACCGCUAAUACCGCAUGAUGCAUUCCGGUCGCAUGAUCGGGAUGCCAAAGAUUUAUCGCUGAAAGAUGGGCUCGCGUCUGAUUAGAUAGUUGGUGGGGUAACGGCCUACCAAGUCGACGAUCAGUAGCCGGACUGAGAGGUUGAACGGCCACAUUGGGACUGAGAUACGGCCCAGACUCCUACGGGAGGCAGCAGUGGGGAAUAUUGGGCAAUACGGGGGGAAACCCUGACCCAGCAACGCCGCGUGAAGGAAGAAGGCUUUCGGGUUGUAAACUUCUUUUACCAGGGACGAAGGACGUGACGGUACCUGGAGAAAAAGCCACGGCUAACUACGUGCCAGCAGCAGC
Molecule: ribosomal RNA, 481 nt
Filed under: uncultured bacterium
Lineage: Bacteria
Description: bacterial SSU rRNA
Rfam family: Bacterial small subunit ribosomal RNA
Source: RNAcentral